RNAcentral lists this ribosomal RNA (254 nucleotides) under uncultured bacterium. RNAcentral's name for it is "partial small subunit ribosomal RNA". It matches the Rfam family "Bacterial small subunit ribosomal RNA", at positions 26 to 285 of the family's 1533-position model. The record is from RNAcentral.
AGGACGAACGCUGGCGGCGUGCUUAACACAUGCAAGUCGAGCGGAAAGGCCCUUCGGGGUACUCGAGCGGCGAACGGGUGAGUAACACGUGAGUAACCUGCCCUGGACUUUGGGAUAACCCUCGGAAACGGGGGCUAAUACCGAAUAUGACCUGACGCUGCAUGGUGUUUGGUGGAAAGUUUUUCGGUCUGGGAUGGGCUCGCGGCCUAUCAGCUUGUUGGUGGGGUGAUGGCCUACCAAGGCGACGACGGGUA